Molecule: ribosomal RNA, 403 nt
Filed under: uncultured bacterium
Lineage: Bacteria
Description: partial 16S ribosomal RNA
Rfam family: Bacterial small subunit ribosomal RNA
Source: RNAcentral
AUUGAACGCUGGCGGCAGGCCUAACACAUGCAAGUCGAGCGAGCGGCGGACGGGUGAGUAAUGUAUGGGGACUGCCCGAUAGAGGGGGAUAACUACUGGAAACGGUAGCUAAUCCCGCAUACUAUCCAAUAACCCAUAUGGUAUUAGCUAGUAGGUGAGGUAAUGGCUCACCUAGGCGACGAUCCCUAGCUGGUCUGAGAGGAUGAUCAGCCACACUGGGACUGAGAAACGGCCCAGACUCCGACGGAGGCAGCAGUGGGGAAUAUUGCACAAUGGGCGCAAGCCUGAUACAGCCAUGCCGCGUGUAUGAAGAAGGCCCUAGGGUUGUAAAGUACUUUCAGUCGGGAGGCGUUACCGACAGAAGAAGCACCGGCUAACUCCGUGCCAGCAGCCGCGGUAAUUC